This 390-nucleotide ribosomal RNA is filed under the name fungal sp. RNAcentral's name for it is "SSU rRNA". It matches the Rfam family "Eukaryotic small subunit ribosomal RNA", at positions 829 to 1219 of the family's 1831-position model. The record is from RNAcentral. Lineage: Eukaryota; Fungi.
CUUUGUCUUAUUUUGUUGGUUUAGGAGACAAAGUAAUGAUUAAUAGGGACGGUUGGGGGCAUUAGUAUUCCACAGUCAGAGGUGAAAUUCUUGGAUUUGUGGAAGACUAACUUCUGCGAAAGCAUUUGUCAAGCACGCUUUCUUUAAUCAGGAACGAAAGUUAGGGGAUCGAAGACGAUCAGAUACCGUCGUAGUCUUAACAGUAAACGAUGCCGAUUCAGGAUCCUAGGGUGUUAUAUUAUUGACCUCUAGGGCACUGUAUGAGAAAUCAAAAUUUUUGGGUUCCGGGGGGAGUAUGGUCGCAAGGCUGAAACUUAAAGGAAUUGACGGAAGGGCACCACCAGGAGUGGAGCCUGCGGCUUAAUUUGACUCAACACGGGGAAACUCACC